AUGAACGCUAGCUACAGGCUUAACACAUGCAAGUCGAGGGGAAACGGCAUCGAUAGCUUGCUUUUGAUGGGCGUCGACCGGCGCACGGGUGAGUAACGCGUAUCCAACCUGCCCAUCACUUGGGAAUAACCUUGCGGAAGUAAGACUAAUGUCCAAUGACAUCCCACGAAGGCAUCCGAAUGGGAUUAAAGAUUUAUCGGUGAUGGAUGGGGAUGCGUCGGAUUAGCUUGUUGGCGGGGUGACGGCCCACCAAGGCAACUAUCAGUAGGGGUUCUGAGAGGAAGGUCCCCCAGAUUGGAACUGAGACACGGUCCAAACUACUACGGGAGGAAGCAGUGAGGAAUAUUGGUCAAUGGGCGAGAGCCUGAACCAGCCAAGUAGCGUGCAGGAUGACGGCCCUAUGGGUUGUAAACUGCUUUUAUAAGGGAAUAAAGUGGGUCACGUGUGACUUUUUGCAUGUACCUUAUGAAUAAGAACCGGCUAAUUCCGUG
RNAcentral lists this ribosomal RNA (491 nucleotides) under uncultured bacterium. RNAcentral's name for it is "partial 16S ribosomal RNA". It matches the Rfam family "Bacterial small subunit ribosomal RNA", at positions 29 to 507 of the family's 1533-position model. The record is from RNAcentral.